UGAAGUACAUAUCCAGCGUAGACUUGCACAUUGGUGACUCUAAAGUCAGCAACACCAUCUAUAACAAUGUGACCAGUAUCAUAUUCUUGACCACCUUGCUCGGCAUAAAAAUUAGUUCGAUCAAGCAACAACCCGAGCUGCUCACCAGAGUUGAACCCCUCAGUACUUUUUUGAAAUCCGCCCUUGUGAUAUAUGCCUUUUAUAACUGACUUCAAUGAUACAGAGUUAUGCUUAAAAACAUCAUCAGUCUCUGGGAUAUCAUCCAUUUUAGAAAGUGCACCGAGUGCAUGAACAUCCAGCACCAGAAGAUCAUCUCCUGAAGAACCACCUUUGGAAGCUUGCUUG
Non-coding RNA from Schizosaccharomyces pombe (fission yeast), 345 nucleotides. NCBI's taxonomy places the organism in Eukaryota, Fungi, Ascomycota, Schizosaccharomycetes, Schizosaccharomycetales, Schizosaccharomycetaceae. The record is from the annotation of a GenBank genome assembly.